This 325-nucleotide unclassified non-coding RNA is filed under the name Virgibacillus salinus. RNAcentral describes it as "Long range pseudoknot". Lineage: Bacteria; Bacillati; Bacillota; Bacilli; Caryophanales; Bacillaceae. The record is from RNAcentral. RNAcentral also lists the same sequence under 1 other name.
GCAUGAUUUUAAUACAAAAUUAAAAAAUGCUAGAAAAUUCCUUGAUAAAGGCGAUAAGGUAAAAGCAUCCGUUCGUUUCCGCGGACGUGCGAUUACACACAAGGAGCUUGGUCGGGAAGUUCUUGACCGCUUUGCAGAAGAAGUAAAAGAUAUUGCGACAAUCGAAUCCAAACCGAAAAUGGAAGGUCGUAGCAUGUUCAUGAUGCUUGCUCCAGUAACUGAAAAAUAACAACUCAAGGAGGAACUCAAUAUGCCUAAAAUGAAAACCCAUAAAGGUUCUCAAAAACGUUUCAGCAAAACUGGUUCAGGAAAGCUAAAACGUUCA